GUAGGAUCCAAGCGUUGUCCGGAUUUACCGGGGUGUAAAGGGGUGCGCAGGCGGGCUUGUGCGUCAGGGGUUAAAUACUUCGGCUUAACCGAAGAGCUGCCCUUGAUACGGCAAGUCUUGAGUGAUGGAGAGGAUGAUGGAAUUCCUGGUGUAGCGGUGAAAUGCGUAGAUAUCAGGAGGAACACCAGUGGCGAAGGCGGUCAUCUGGCCAUUCACUGACGCUCAGGCACGAAAGCGUGGGGAGCAAACAGGAUUAGAUACCCUGGUAGUCCACGCCCUAAACGAUGUAUGCUUGGUGUUGGAUGCUUGCAUUCAGUGCCGGAGGAAACCCGUUAAGCAUACCACCUGGGGAGUACGAUCGCAAGGUUG
RNAcentral lists this ribosomal RNA (369 nucleotides) under uncultured organism. RNAcentral describes it as "partial 16S ribosomal RNA". It matches the Rfam family "Bacterial small subunit ribosomal RNA", at positions 527 to 896 of the family's 1533-position model. The record is from RNAcentral.